AAUUACUCUGUCAUUUCACUAAAAUACUCCUACUUGUGCAGUUUUCUUGGUUGAUCUGGGUUCCAAGAGGACUUCUUCUUCAACCAGUUUGAUGUUAUGAGUAGGGCUAAUAAAUCGCUCCAGUCAACUGGAUGUUCCUUUGGAAGGUUACAGUAAAUCAUGGGCCUGGAUGUAAGCCAACGUUUCCUUCCGUGAGGCAAAUCUCAAAAGGUGGAACAGCUUAUUUUUGCCAGAGAUGGAGGCAGUGUGAACAUUUAAAGGAGAGGUGGGAUGUGAACACAGGAUGGCCCUGAUGCUGCUGGUCUGUUUCCCUCCUUGUCUAUAGUAAGUGCUGGUAUGGCCCAAUGACUUUUUGACAUGUGCAUAUAUGUGCAACACACAAAAAGGAAGAUAAAUUCCUCCCUCACCCACUUCUAGUAGGUUUUAGAAAUGACAAGGUGGCAACACAUUUGUGGUACUGCUGACAAGACAGUAGCUGAGCAGCACGGUUGUGGAAGCACAAUCUCAGAGAAUCCUUAUUAAGUCUUAGGACUCAUGACAGUUGCUAAUUUUGGAAAACUUUCAGUGGAGCACUUAACAGCUCAGCUGAACUUUGGUUUCAUCUAUUAGUAAUUACUUCCAGAAGUUAUCUUGAGUGAGAAAACAAAACCUUGCAGUCUCCUGACCAGGACUAUGGCAAUGUGAGAAAGGGCUCUGCUCUGCUGGCUGGUGCAAAGUGAAUGUGAUGGAAAACUGCAGUCACUGCAAGAGCUGAAUGUCCAUUUAGAUAAAAACAUAUUUGUUAGGAACAUGGAGCCUGCUCUGGUGGGUCCCAACCUUGCUGUGUUUACUGAUGUGCAAAAAAAUCAUUAAAAAAUGUGGAAGCUUG
This 868-nucleotide long non-coding RNA is filed under the name Cyanistes caeruleus (blue tit). RNAcentral's name for it is "lncRNA (ENSCCEG00000023840.1)". The record is from RNAcentral. Lineage: Eukaryota; Metazoa; Chordata; Aves; Passeriformes; Paridae.